RNAcentral lists this unclassified non-coding RNA (225 nucleotides) under uncultured fungus. RNAcentral's name for it is "sequence contains ITS1". The record is from RNAcentral. Lineage: Eukaryota; Fungi.
GUAUAUAAAUUGCGUUAUAGCAAAGUAUGACAUUCUAAAACUGAAUCGUUUGUAGUAAAGCAUAAGCCCGACACCUACAAGUGCGCGAACGCACCCACAAGCCGGCCUAUGAAAAGUGCACAGAAGUUGAGAGUGGAUGAGACAGGCGUGCACAUGCCCUUGCGAGCCAGCAGACAACCCGUUCAAAACUCGAUAAUGAUCCUUCCGCAGGUUCACCUACGGAAA